This 407-nucleotide ribosomal RNA is filed under the name uncultured bacterium. Its description in RNAcentral is "partial 16S ribosomal RNA". It matches the Rfam family "Bacterial small subunit ribosomal RNA", at positions 30 to 526 of the family's 1533-position model. The record is from RNAcentral.
AUUGAACGCUGGCGGCAGGACUAACACAUGCACGUCGAGCGGAGCGGCGGACGGGUGAGUAAUGCCUAGGAAUCUGCCUGGUAGUGGGGGAUCACGUCCGGAAACGGGCGCUAAUACCGCAUACUAUCAGAUGAGCCUCGGUGGGAUUAGCUAGUUGGUGGGGUAAAGGCCUACAAGGGCGACGAUCCGUAACUGUUCUGAGAGGAUGAUCAGUCACACUGGAACUGAGCAAGUGUCCAGACUCCUACGGUAGGCAGCAGUGGGGACUAUUGGACAAUGGGCGAAAGCCUGUUCCAGCCAUGCCGCGGGUGUGAAGAAGGUCUUCGGAUUGUAAAGCACGUUAAGUUGGGAGGCGUUACCAACAGAAUAAGCACCGGCUAACUUCGUGCCAGCAGCCGCGGUAAUAC